Molecule: small nuclear RNA, 138 nt
Filed under: Phocoena sinus (vaquita)
Lineage: Eukaryota; Metazoa; Chordata; Mammalia; Artiodactyla; Phocoenidae
Description: U4 spliceosomal RNA (ENSPSNG00000009658.1)
Rfam family: U4 spliceosomal RNA
About the family: U4 small nuclear RNA (U4 snRNA) is a component of the major U2-dependent spliceosome. The structure of U4 snRNA from yeast and human has been reported.
Source: Rfam by way of RNAcentral
AGCUUUGCACAGUGGCAGUAUCGUAGCCAAUGAGGUUUAUCCGAGGCGCGAUUAUUGCUAAUUGAAAACUAAAUUAUAUAAAGUAUUUAGCAUGAUGCCAGGUACAAAAUGACAAUUCAAUAAAACUUAGCUCUAUAA